UAUAACCUUCACAACUCAUUAUUUUCCAUAACCUUCAAUUUUUUAAUUUUUGUUUGUGUUAUGCUGGCAUUCCUAUUGGCCAUAUGCUAAUGUCAACCUUUAAAACAAAAUGGCAUAUGAUGUUAGCCUUUUUGAUUAUUUGCAUUGCUUCGGUCAAAGUUGCAAGUUAUCCAGAAGGAGCAAAAUGCUUUCUGUCGAAAUUAUGUCCUACGUCGCCUGAUUUAUGUGAUAACUUUUGUAAAAUUACAUUGCACAGUAAUCGUGGAUUUUGUUAUGAAGCGGAGGGUACAUGUUGUUGCAUGUAGACAUUUAGGAUUUUUAAAGAUAAAAUAUGUAGUAUUUCCACUUGGUUGUAGAAAUACACCUACAAGUAGUUCCUUAAAAUUAUAAUAAAAAUAAAUUUAUUAUCAA
Long non-coding RNA from Vicia villosa (hairy vetch), 411 nucleotides. RefSeq lists it as uncharacterized. The transcript has 2 exons. The record is from RefSeq and is a predicted model, not a curated record. NCBI's taxonomy places the organism in Eukaryota, Viridiplantae, Streptophyta, Magnoliopsida, Fabales, Fabaceae.